RNAcentral lists this long non-coding RNA (536 nucleotides) under Homo sapiens (human). RNAcentral describes it as "HSALNT0026876". The record is from RNAcentral. Lineage: Eukaryota; Metazoa; Chordata; Mammalia; Primates; Hominidae.
AAUUUCUGACGCUCCUUUCAACAAGAUGAGAACCUGCCACUUUGGUUGGAACCAGGCCCUGGGCCUCACUGUGAAGGCUGAACGAGGAUGACCAGAGCCGGGACCUUGGACACACUGGGAAGUGACCAUCCAGCAAUGUGUGAGGCCUGGGGGAAGGAGGAAAGAAAGCAGCCGGGGGAGGCCUUGGGGCAGAAAAGAGAUGGACAUGGAGGCCAUUCAAAGCAGGGGAGAGACUCAAGGCGUGAGAAGACAGGCCUGGGGCUCAAGGUGGAUCUGUUAAGGUCCGUGGUUACAGCCCGCUGCCCCAGGUGAGGUAAACUGAAAAACAGAACCAUAACAGAGGGAUACUCACUCUCCACUCUGGUACAUAUUCAUAUUUCUUUUAGACCCUUCUCACAGGAUCCUAGAUAGGGAAAUAACUUCAGACAAAACUUGGAACAAGACUCCUAUCUUCACGUAGCUGCCCAGUAGCACAUGGGUAAGUCACCUGAGACCCAGAGAAGUCAAGAUUGUUUGUCUAAGAAAUCUAAUAACUG